This 278-nucleotide ribosomal RNA is filed under the name uncultured bacterium. Its description in RNAcentral is "partial 16S ribosomal RNA". It matches the Rfam family "Bacterial small subunit ribosomal RNA", at positions 335 to 630 of the family's 1533-position model. The record is from RNAcentral.
AUCCUACGGGAGGCAGCAGUGGGGGAUAUUGCACAAUGGGGGGAACCCUGAUGCAGCGACGCCGCGUGGGUGAAGAAGUAUUUCGGUAUGUAAAGCCCUAUCGGCAGGGAAGAAAUUGGACGGUACCUGACUAAGAAGCCCCGGCUAACUACGUGCCAGCAGCCGCGGUAAUACGUAGGGGGGAAGCGUUAUCCGGAUUCACUGGGUGUAAAGGGAGCGUAGACGGCCAUGCAAGACUGGAGUGAAAACCCCGGGCCCAACCCCGGGACCGCUCUGGG